CCCGGCCUGCACCACAGCCACAGCCACCCUCGUCUUUGACCUGCACCACAGCUCACAGCAACGCCAGAUCCUUAACCCACUGAGUGAGGCCAGGGAUCGAACCCGCAACCUCAUGGUUCCUCGUCGGAUUUGUUAACCCCUGAGCCACGACGGGAAUUCUGACACUGCUACUCGGAAAACAAAACCAAAGACACGCCAAAAAGCUUUGGAAUAUGCCUCAUUAACACAGACUCAAAAAUCCCUUUGAGAAAAAAAUUGCAAUUGCAAAUUGAAUGCAGCAGCGUCUAAAAAGGACAGUCUAUCAUGACCAAGUGGGGCUUAUCUCGGGAGUGAAAAGUUGGUUCAGCACCUUAAAAAAAAGAAAAAAUCAGUGUAUUUCACCCCAUCACCAGAGUCGAGGAGAAAAGCCAUGCGAUCGCCUCAUCUCGCAGCGCGGCACCUUUCACAGGAAAAGCUCCGCGAGGGCUAAAUGGGAUAAUACUUUCUUAAGCCAAACGAGGCGUGCGAAAUGACCCCCAGGUCAUGUGGUGACAGUGGUGCGAGGUCGAGCAGGUGCCCCUUGUAAGACAAAGGACAGAAAAACAACGAUAAAGACGCAGACCUCAGGAAGCCACCUGUCUGUAUCUGGAGAUCUGAGCGCGAGCGUGGUUCAUCGAAAUUGAUUUACCAACUACUCGAUUUAAUAACUUCAGCCAAGUUCACUGAUGCCUUAUUUCCAGACUUAAUAGGAAGCUGCGGUAAUGAAGAGGGUGUGGAAUUAGUGAUCCAGGGAACAGGGCUGAGCCUGGAAAGAGCCCCCCCGCCUCCUCCCCCACGGGCGGGGCCCCUGAGUCACGGCCGGGACAACCGCCAGCCAGCCCGCAAAGGCUGGGCUUCUCGACCACGGUUCCAGACCAGCCGGAUGCUCCUGAGAAGGCAGGAACCCCUCACAGCACACCUGACACUAACGGGCGGCGGGGCCUGUCUCCAAACACGAAAGCUGAGCUGUCAGGUUUCUAGAACAUCCUUGCGUCUGGGUGAGCAAAGCUGUCUGCAGGGAAGCACAAGGCCCAAGCCUGAGAGCGCGAGCCGCGCGGUCAGACACGGGCAAACUCGUGCUCGUCGGGACAAAAACCCGCAGGCAAGCCCGCAACCCGGGCCCCGAGCUCUGUCACACGUGCGUCUGCCCCAGGCCGUACCCGGGAUAGAGAAAGGGUGCCCAGGUCACUGAGGCGAAGGCAAAGCGCCCCAUUUAGAAACGGGCAGAAAGGCAACACCUGGGCAGAAAGGCAACGCUUGGGCAGAAAGGCUUGGAAGGAGCCUGGAGUCGCCCGGCUGCCCGACGGUCCAAGGCAAAACCACCUGCAACCAACACGGCUUCUCAGACCCAUCACCAGGGGAGCCCACCGGACACCCCCAACCCGAAAGGGGGACAGGCCGCGACACAGACACAUCCCCACUUACCGCAGCUCCGGGACGCCUGGCGGGCAGGGAGCCAUCAAGACGGAGGCGACUCCGGACCGUCCCCAGGCCCAGCCGGGCUUGACCUCCGCGAGCUCCCGCAGCUCCCGCAGCCCGUCGCGUGGAGCGCUGGGCGGGAACCGCUUCCUGUGGGGGAGGGAGGGACGUGGCCGGAAUCCUUAACUAGACUCAGGCCAGGGGAAACUAGUUAACCUGAGCCUAACCAGAGCCACCUGACCCGGGGAGAACUGGGCGAGUGAUUUAAAGAGACACAGGAAUCAAAGAGGCCACCGCAGGGUCCGCACGGCGCCGAGGAGGCGGUGACCUCCGCGCUUAGGAAAACCCAGUGAGACCUGCGGAGCCAGCGCUGGUGGGGACAGUAACCUGAGGAUGACACCCAGGGUCACUGGCACCUGGAGGGACCAGAGACCCGCUGUCCACAGGGGAACAGGGGCCCAGCCACUUUGAACGCUGUUGGUUGGCAUCAGCUGCAGCGGGUCUGGGUGCCCUUGACUCGCGUGUCUGUCCCCCGCGUCCCCCCUAGAAACACACACUCGUCUCCAAAAGUCGCGAGCAAGAACGCCCGCCGCCCUCUUCCCGAAGCCCAGCCCCACCCUAGGGCCCCCCAUCACGGACGGGGGGUGGGGUCAAGUCAUGAGCCGCCCACCCCGUCGUUCACGUAGUGACCACAGGGGGACAGGAGCUCCUCGUGCCCACGACGCGGUGACGGGCGCGCUAAUCCGCCCCGGACCUCACCUGGCCGCGUGUGCACCUCGCGCUCGUGCGGCGUGAUGUGUCGGGUGUACCCCAGCCAAGCGGGCGAGACCGGGAGAGCUGCUGCCUCUCGGGGCGGAGGUGGAGGCUGCCUUAGAAGGGACGGAGAGAAGCUUCCGGAACAAUGGCCGAGCUCUGUAGUCCUGAGGGGGUUGGGUCCACAAGCGUGUGCCCUGGUCUCUUCGGAGGUGUAGGUUCAUUUGUAAACUUUACUUACGGAGAAGGCAAGUGUGGACACAGAGGGACGUCUGCUCCCACGGGGGAGGCCGCGCCGUCUGGGGAGAAGGGUGUCGACACCUGCCAUGGGCCCCGGACGCCCCGAGCACGAAGCCGGCUGAUGGAAUGACACACGUUUGAGACCAAACAGAGUAAGGCGUCGAUGGCAGGGUGGAGGCGAUGCCUGCAGGUGUUUACUGUGAAAGUCUCUCGUCUCCGCAGUAAAAAGCCGGGCAGAGGGACCCGCGUGUGGCAACGUGGUGGGCGGUGCCACAGACGCGACGCUGGGGGGAAGACGUCAGGCCCCCAAGGACACGCGCUGUCGGAUUGUGUUUCCGUCAAAUCCGGAAACGGGCCGGUCCUCUCCAGCGGGGGGUGGGGACCACCGCACGGAGGGGCGGGGGCGUGAUGGUUUCCGGUGUUUCGGAAGCGUUUCGUGUUGAGUGUUGGAAACCGGAGAAUGCACUGGGCGGCGCCCUAGGACGUGUGCGUCUUUACUCCGCGUGUUAGGUUUCGGUACGAAUGUAUCUUCUAAAAACUCCUGGGGAACCAGGGCUGGAGGGAGCUUCCUCGCCCUGAAGAGGCUCUGCCGGCAAUGCGCUCCCCACUCGGGAUCGGGAGGCGGCGGGAGGGCUCGCUUUUUAGGAAACCACCGUCAAGGUCAUUGCGGGCACGGAGAAGCCCCCUCAGGUCCCCCCCCGGGCCCCGCCUGUGCCGUGCGUGCCCUUCAGACACUCGGACCGUUUGGCAUCCAUCCUGGGACAGACGCGGUGACCGAGGAAACGGGACAAAGCCCAGCAGCGGAGCGACGGGUUCAGGGACCCCUGAUUGAUGACGGCGCGGGCGGCGGGAGACCGCGUGGGAGGAGGAGCCCAUUUAACAAAUGCUGCCGAGACAAUUAGUUGUUCAUGUGGAAAAAAUGAAAUUGGAUUUCUGUCUCACGCCAUAAAUAAAAAUCACUUGCAGGAGACAGGGUGGGGAUUAUCUCGGCGACCCCGCGGGGGCGGGAAGAUUUGCGUAAACCAGACGCCAAAGCGCCGGCCAUGAAAGGAGAGAUGGAUAAAUGGAAGCACGUUGACAUCGAGAACUUUGUUUAUCGAAAAGUAGCACAAAGAGGGUGCAAACGCAAAGUGCCAAGUGGGGGGAGAUGCUUCCGUGUGCAAACCAGCAAAGAGAGGGCGUCGGAUACAAUCUCACCAGCGCAAGAGCCACGACCCCUAGACGAACCGGUAGUAGGUGCAACAAGCGUCUCUCGAAUGC
RNAcentral lists this long non-coding RNA (3690 nucleotides) under Sus scrofa (pig). RNAcentral's name for it is "lncRNA (ENSSSCG00025069495.1, ENSSSCG00035024581.1, ENSSSCG00065032054.1)". The record is from RNAcentral. Lineage: Eukaryota; Metazoa; Chordata; Mammalia; Artiodactyla; Suidae.